RNAcentral lists this ribosomal RNA (496 nucleotides) under uncultured bacterium. RNAcentral's name for it is "partial 16S ribosomal RNA". It matches the Rfam family "Bacterial small subunit ribosomal RNA", at positions 28 to 506 of the family's 1533-position model. The record is from RNAcentral.
GAUGAACGCUGGCGGCGUGCCUAAUACAUGCAAGUCGAGCGAACAGAUGAGGAGCUUGCUCCUCUGACGUUAGCGGCGGACGGGUGAGUAACACGUGGAUAACCUACCUAUAAGACUGGGAUAACUUCGGGAAACCGGAGCUAAUACCGGAUAAUAUAUUGAACCGCAUGGUUCAAUAGUGAAAGACGGUUUUGCUGUCACUUAUAGAUGGAUCCGCGCCGCAUUAGCUAGUUGGUAAGGUAACGGCUUACCAAGGCAACGAUGCGUAGCCGACCUGAGAGGGUGAUCGGCCACACGGGAACUGAGACACGGUCCAGACUCCUACGGGAGGCAGCAGUAGGGAAUCUUCCGCAAUGGGCGAAAGCCGGACGGAGCAACGCCGCGUGAGUGAUGAAGGUCUGCGGAUCGUAAAACUCUGUUAUUAGGGAAGAACAAAUGUGUAAGUAACUAUGCACGUCUUGACGGUACCUAAUCAGAAAGCCACGGCUAACUACGU